CCCCUAGAUGUUCUGGGCCGCACGCGCGCUACACUGAACAGUUCAACAAGUCUUAACCUUGGCCGAUAGGUCUGGGUAAUCUUUGAACGCUGUUCGUGAUUGGGAUAGACCUUUGCAAUUAUGGGUCUUCAACGAGGAAUUCCCAGUAAGCGCAAGUCAUAAGCUUGCGUUGAUUACGUCCCUGCCCUUUGUACACACCGCCCGUCGCUACUACCGAUUGAACGUUUUAGUGAGGUAUUUGGACUGGACCUUCGGAGGUUCGCGCCUCCGUUGCUGUUCGGGAAGACUCCCAAACUUGAGCGUUUAGAGGAAGUAAAANUCGUANCA
Molecule: ribosomal RNA, 327 nt
Filed under: uncultured eukaryote
Lineage: Eukaryota
Description: partial 18S ribosomal RNA
Rfam family: Eukaryotic small subunit ribosomal RNA
Source: RNAcentral